AGAAUCCUUUCCUCAGUUGCCAUAAGUGCCACAACAUUUAACCUAUUAAACUGUAAUACACUCUUCCAUUCAGACAUCACACAUAGUAAUACACUCUUCCACUCAGACAUCACACAUAGUAAUACACUCUUCCACUCAGACAUCACACAUAGUAAUACACUCUUCCAUUCAGACAUCACACAUAGUAAUACACUCUUCCACUCAGACAUCACACAUAGUAAUACACUCUUCCAUUCAGACAUCACACAUAGUAAUACACUCUUCCAUUCAGACAUCACACAUAGUAAUACACUCUUCCAUUCAGACAUCACACAUAGUAAUACACUCUUCCAUUCAGACAUCACACAUAGUAAUACACUCUUCCAUUCAGACAUCACACAUAGUAAUACACUCUUCCACUCAGACAUCACACAUAGUAAUACACUCUUCCAUUCAGACAUCACACAUAGUAAUACACUCUUCCACUCAGACAUCACACAUAGUAAUACACUCUUCCAUUCAGACAUCACACAUAGUAAUACACUCUUCCAUUCAGACAUCACACAUAGUAAUACACUCUUCCAUUCAGACAUCACACAUAGUAAUACACUCUUCCAUUCAGACAUCACACAUAGUAAUACACUCUUCCAUUCAGACAUCACACAUAGUAAUACACUCUUCCAUUCAGACAUCACACAUAGUAAUACACUCUUCCACUCAGACAUCACACAUAGUAAUACACUCUUCCAUUCAGACAUCACACAUAGUAAUACACUCUUCCACUCAGACAUCACACAUAGUAAUACACUCUUCCAUUCAGACAUCACACAUAGUAAUACACUCUUCCACUCAGACAUCACACAUAGUAAUACACUCUUCCAUUCAGACAUCACACAUAGUAAUACACUCUUCCAUUCAGACAUCACACAUAGUAAUACACUCUUCCAUUCAGACAUCACGCAUAGUAAUACACUCUUCCAUUCAGACAUCACACAUAGUAAUACACUCUUCCAUUCAGACAUCACACAUAGUAAUACACUCUUCCAUUCAGACAUCACACAUAGUAAUACACUCUUCCAUUCAGACAUCACACAUAGUAAUACACUCUUCCAUUCAGACAUCACACAUAGUAAUACACUCUUCCAUUCAGACAUCACACAUAGUAAUACACUCUUCCACUCAGACAUCACACAUAGUAAUACACUCUUCCAUUCAGACAUCACACAUAGUAAUACACUCUUCCACUCAGACAUCACACAUAGUAAUACACUCUUCCAUUCAGACAUCACACAUAGUAAUACACUCUUCCAUUCAGACAUCACACAUAGUAAUACACUCUUCCAUUCAGACAUCACACAUAGUAAUACACUCUUCCAUUCAGACAUCACACAUAGUAAUACACUCUUCCAUUCAGACAUCACACAUAGUAAUACACUCUUCCAUUCAGACAUCACACAUAGUAAUACACUCUUCCACUCAGACAUCACACAUAGUAAUACACUCUUCCAUUCAGACAUCACACAUAGUAAUACACUCUUCCACUCAGACAUCACACAUAGUAAUACACUCUUCCAUUCAGACAUCACACAUAGUAAUACACUCUUCCACUCAGACAUCACACAUAGUAAUACACUCUUCCAUUCAGACAUCACACAUAGUAAUACACUCUUCCAUUCAGACAUCACGCAUAGUAAUACACUCUUCCAUUCAGACAUCACGCAUAGUAAUACACUCUUCCAUUCAGACAUCACGCAUAGUAAUACACUCUUCCAUUCAGACAUCACGCAUAGUAAUACACUCUUCCAUUCAGACAUCACACAUAGUAAUACACUCUUCCAUUCAGACAUCACGCAUAGUAAUACACUCUUCCAUUCAGACAUCACACAUAGUAAUACACUCUUCCAUUCAGACAUCACACAUAGUAAUACACUCUUCCAUUCAGACAUCACACAUAGUAAUACACUCUUCCAUUCAGACAUCACACAUAGUAAUACACUCUUCCAUUCAGACAUCACACAUAGUAAUACACUCUUCCAUUCAGACAUCACACAUAGUAAUACACUCUUCCAUUCAGACAUCACACAUAGUAAUACACUCUUCCAUUCAGACAUCACACAUAGUAAUACACUCUUCCAUUCAGACAUCACACAUAGUAAUACACUCUUCCAUUCAGACAUCACACAUAGUAAUACACUCUUCCAUUCAGACAUCACACAUAGUAAUACACUCUUCCAUUCAGACAUCACACAUAGUAAUACACUCUUCCACUCAGACAUCACACAUAGUAAUACACUCUUCCAUUCAGACAUCACACAUAGUAAUACACUCUUCCAUUCAGACAUCACACAUAGUAAUACACUCUUCCAUUCAGACAUCACACAUAGUAAUACACUCUUCCAUUCAGACAUCACACAUAGUAAUACACUCUUCCAUUCAGACAUCACACAUAGUAAUACACUCUUCCAUUCAGACAUCACACAUAGUAAUACACUCUUCCAUUCAGACAUCACACAUAGUAAUACACUCUUCCAUUCAGACAUCACACAUAGUAAUACACUCUUCCAUUCAGACAUCACACAUAGUAAUACACUCUUCCAUUCAGACAUCACACAUAGUAAUACACUCUUCCAUUCAGACAUCACACAUAGUAAUACACUCUUCCAUUCAGACAUCACACACAGUAAUACACUCUUCCACUCAGACAUCACACAUAGUAAUACACUCUUCCAUUCAGACAUCACACAUAGUAAUACACUCUUCCACUCAGACAUCACACAUAGUAAUACACUCUUCCAUUCAGACAUCACACAUAGUAAUACACUCUUCCAUUCAGACAUCACACAUAGUAAUACACUCUUCCAUUCAGACAUCACACAUAGUAAUACACUCUUCCAUUCAGACAUCACACAUAGUAAUACACUCUUCCAUUCAGACAUCACACAUAGUAAUACACUCUUCCAUUCAGACAUCACACAUAGUAAUACACUCUUCCAUUCAGACAUCACACAUAGUAAUACACUCUUCCAUUCAGACAUCACACAUAGUAAUACACUCUUCCAUUCAGACAUCACACAUAGUAAUACACUCUUCCAUUCAGACAUCACACAUAGUAAUACACUCUUCCAUUCAGACAUCACACAUAGUAAUACACUCUUCCAUUCAGACAUCACACAUAGUAAUACACUCUUCCAUUCAGACAUCACACAUAGUAAUACACUCUUCCAUUCAGACAUCACACAUAGUAAUACACUCUUCCAUUCAGACAUCACACAUAGUAAUACACUCUUCCAUUCAGACAUCACACAUAGUAAUACACUCUUCCAUUCAGACAUCACACAUAGUAAUACACUCUUCCAUUCAGACAUCACACAUAGUAAUACACUCUUCCAUUCAGACAUCACACACAGUAAUACACUCUUCCACUCAGACAUCACACAUAGUAAUACACUCUUCCAUUCAGACAUCACACAUAGUAAUACACUCUUCCAUUCAGACAUCACACAUAGUAAUACACUCUUCCAUUCAGACAUCACACAUAGUAAUACACUCUUCCAUUCAGACAUCACACAUAGUCUGUUUUAUAUAAGCACUUUCUAA
Oncorhynchus kisutch (coho salmon) is the source of this 3576-nucleotide long non-coding RNA. NCBI's taxonomy places the organism in Eukaryota, Metazoa, Chordata, Actinopteri, Salmoniformes, Salmonidae. The record is from Ensembl.